AGCAGCCGCGGUAAUUCCAGCUCCAAUAGCGUAUAUUAAAGUUGUUGCAGUUAAAAAGCUCGUAGUUGAACCUUGGGCCUGGCUGGCCGGUCCGCCUCACCGCGUGUACUGGUCCGGCCGGGCCUUUCCUUCUGGGGAGCCGCAUGCCCUUCACUGGGCGUGUCGGGGAACCAGGACUUUUACUUUGAAAAAAUUAGAGUGUUCAAAGCAGGCCUUUGCUCGAAUACAUUAGCAUGGAAUAAUAGAAUAGGACGUGCGGUCCUAUUUUGUUGGUUUCUAGGACCGCCGUAAUGAUUAAUAGGGAUAGUCGGGGGCAUCCGUAUUCAAUUGUCAGAGGUGAAAUUCUUGGAUUUAUUGAAGACGAACUACUGCGAAAGCAUUUGCCAAGGAUGUUUUCAUUAAUCAGUGAACGAAAGUUAGGGGAUCGAAGACGAUCAGAUACCGUCGUAGUCUUAACCAUAAACUAUGCCGACUAGGGAUCGGUGGAUGUUUCUAUUUUGACUCCAUCGGCACCUUACGAGAAAUCAAAGUUUUUGGGUUCUGGGGGGAGUAUGGUCGCAA
This 561-nucleotide ribosomal RNA is filed under the name Teratosphaeria zuluensis. RNAcentral describes it as "SSU rRNA". It matches the Rfam family "Eukaryotic small subunit ribosomal RNA", at positions 569 to 1134 of the family's 1831-position model. Lineage: Eukaryota; Fungi; Ascomycota; Dothideomycetes; Mycosphaerellales; Teratosphaeriaceae. The record is from RNAcentral.